This is a long non-coding RNA of Arvicola amphibius (Eurasian water vole), 1049 nucleotides long. RefSeq lists it as uncharacterized. The transcript is spliced from 3 exons. Lineage: Eukaryota; Metazoa; Chordata; Mammalia; Rodentia; Cricetidae. The record is from RefSeq and is a predicted model, not a curated record.
UCCCCCAUGGGCCCCCCCAACCUAGGGACCCAGGGUGGCUUUCCUCUCUGACCUUCCUUAUCCCACCAUCUUUGUUAUAUGAGAGCCUCAGGCGGCGCCUAGUCUCCUAGAGUCCUAAGAGCACUGAGAAAUGGUUCACUGCUGAAAUUCCGGCAUGAGGAAGAUGGAGGCAAAGAGUGCCAUGAAUCUGAGGCUAACCUAAGCUACAUAGUGAGUUCCAGAUCUGCGAGUUGGAGAGGUAGAGGCAAGAGCAGCAAGAGACUGAGGCCAGUCUCCACUACAUGAGACCCGGUGUCCAAAUAAGGAAGGGAGGGGGUAGAAAGGAAAGAAAAGGAGCUUGAAGAGAUUGAGUCCUCUAUGAGUCUUUGCCAGCUUGGAGACAAACUCAGCCUGGCCCGGUGACCCCUCUCGGUCUGGCAUAAGCCUUCCUGUGAACACAGCCCAUCAUCACAGACUCUCAGGAUUCUUCAUCAGCCAGCACUAUCAAUCCGCCUUCCUGCGCAGAUAAAAUGGAAGGAAAAAGUGGAUUGCAAAAGCUUUGGAAAAUUAGACGCCACGACUGUGAACGAUCAACAAGACUGCCAUACAAGGAGGAACUCCAUGGAGUUCCCCUGGGGGUGGACCAGCGCUCAGCUGAAGGUAAACAUCAUCUCGGCAUUGUUAGGAGGAUGGAUGUCCUGUAAGACUUCCAUCUUCAGUGUCCCCGAAUCUCAUAGAAGUGAUUCAAAGCACUCCGAGGGGAAUUAGCCACAUCACUGCACCUUAUGCACUGCCUGCCUGGAGGGGGACGGGAGCAGAGUUGCAAGGCUGGCAUACAAUUCUGUCACCACUUUGGGUUCAUGCUGGUCAGAAGACAACCUGAGCAAUGCCUAUCCAUCUUGAGAUGCAUAUCCCUGCAGCAGCAAUUCUGUUUCUAGAAAUUGCACAGACGGUUACGGGUCAGGCUGGUGCUGCAGCUCACAUCUGUAAAAUCUACUGAAUGUCCUUCAUCGGGAGAGGUCAGCAAAUCAUGGUGGCCAUUCUCUAUUGAUACCAGGCAAAAGCGAACA